GAUCAUGGCUCAGGAUGAACGCUAGCUACAGGCUUAACACAUGCAAGUCGAGGGGCAUCAGUUUGGUUUGCUUGCAAACCAAAGCUGGCGACCGGCGCACGGGUGAGUAACACGUAUCCAACCUGCCUCAUACUCGGGGAUAGCCUUUCGAAAGAAAGAUUAAUAUCCGAUAGCAUAUAUUUCCCGCAUGGGUUUUAUAUUAAAGAAAUUCGGUAUGAGAUGGGGAUGCGUUCCACUGGUUUG
RNAcentral lists this ribosomal RNA (243 nucleotides) under uncultured bacterium. Its description in RNAcentral is "partial 16S ribosomal RNA". It matches the Rfam family "Bacterial small subunit ribosomal RNA", at positions 15 to 248 of the family's 1533-position model. The record is from RNAcentral.